GACGAACGCUGGCGGCGUGGAUUAGGCGUGCAAGUCGAACGGUAUCAUCCUUUCGGGGGUGAGAGAGUGGCGAACUGGUGAGUAACACGUAGGUUAUCUACCCUCAAGACGGGGACAACCCAGGGAAACUUGGGCUAAUACCGGAUGUGAGCAACUUUUAGUUGUUUGAAAGGUGGCGUAAGCUGUCGCUUGGGGAUGAGCCUGCGUCCUAUUAGUUAGUUGGUGAGGUAACGGCUCACCUAGGCAAUGAUAGGUAGGCGGCCUUAACGGGUGGUCGCCCACACUGGGAUUGAGAUACGGCCCAGACUCCUACGGGAGGCAGCAGUCGAGAAUAGUCUACAAUGGUCGGAAGACUGAUAGUGCGACGCCGCGUGAACGAUGAAUCCCUUCGGGGUGUAAAGUUCUUUUAUAUGUGAGCAGUGCUUCUUAUAUUAACAGUAUGGGGAGAGAGAUAUUAGCAUAUGAAUAAGCAACGGCUAACUCCGUGCCAGCAGCCGCGGUAAACUCGUCU
RNAcentral lists this ribosomal RNA (511 nucleotides) under uncultured bacterium. RNAcentral describes it as "bacterial SSU rRNA". It matches the Rfam family "Bacterial small subunit ribosomal RNA", at positions 28 to 530 of the family's 1533-position model. The record is from RNAcentral.